Molecule: long non-coding RNA, 1734 nt
Organism: Cynoglossus semilaevis (tongue sole)
Lineage: Eukaryota; Metazoa; Chordata; Actinopteri; Pleuronectiformes; Cynoglossidae
Exons: 9
Source: RefSeq, a predicted model, not a curated record
AUUCCAGCGUUGCUAAUUAAAAUGAGCAGUUUCAAAUAAUCGCAAACAUCAAUAUGAUUAGAGAUGGAAAUAAGAAAAAUGAGGGUAAAAUACUGACGGGAGAACAGGCUAAAUCCCAGAGGAAGAGCAAAAAGAAGACAAUGAUGCAACAUUGUCCACAUCAACUGCAAUUACAGACAAUCAACAACCGUCCCUCCAGUAAACCCUCAUUUUGUAGUUCACUGUGUUUUCUCCAUAGAGUGAUUGGAUCAUGCAGUUUAGCAAAUCCUGUUCGUCCGGCAAGUUGACACAGUCUGUCAUAGACCACAUGAAAUCUCAUCACAAAAGGGUUUACUCAGCUAAAGCUGUUGUUGAUACCUCAGUACCCAAAAGCAUGAUACAAAUAUACAAUGGACAGAGAAACAGGGAUCGUUUUUCACAAAAGAGCACCACAACCUUUUGCUCCUUGGCACAAAGUCAACUGUCCGUGCAGAAUGAUGAUGAACCCUAUCUUUGCUUGCGGUGCCCCCUGGAUUCCAGCCCAGGACUCAGCCCCUCUUUUCUCCCAAAGCACAUUGUUUAUGAGUCCAGUAAACUGGACCAUAGCCGCCACACUUCUCCAAGGUCAUCUCUGCACAGAAAACAGUUGACAUGUUCACCUUCGGGUUCAGGAGGACAGGGCUGCAGCAAGACUUUCCGCGGUCCUGUCCAGAAUAAGGCCACCAAAGACAUGUUUCAAAAAUACUCUGAUAAUUUCACAACAAAAAAGCCUUUCACACCACGGAUCCUGAAGUCGAACCAAAGUUCAACCCUUGGAAACUAUCGCUACUACAGGGGGCCACGAAGAAGGCUUCCUCCAGACUGCAGUGACUCCAAUGUGAUGCAUCAUGGGAAUAAUGACACAAGCACCAAAAACAAAGAAUGCGUACAGGAAGUGGAUGAGACGUCUCAGGCAAUUUUCUGUUUCAUCACUUUUAUCUUUAGUUUUGAAAACAACAAAUUUGUAUUUCAUCUUCAGAGAAACUUGACAAGUGUUACUGUAACGUAUUAAUUUUAUUUAUUUUUUGCUUGUUUUAAAGGGAUUUAUAACUGAACAUGAAUGGUCUGAGGAUGAGGUGAAUGAAAUCUAUUUAUCACCACCCAGACAACAAAGUCAAGGAAACACAACUUGUAACCCUACAUCCAGGCAAUCAGCAGAAGCCAGUAAAUCUCCUGCAUUGGAAACAAUAUUUGCAGAGCAACAAGAAGAGUUAAAGUAUCUGGAAUUUAUAUCUGCUGUAACAGAAGAUAUUUUAUCCAGGACUCAUAUUUCUGACAGGUCGCUAGAUUUAGUGAUGAAACGCCAUUUUGACAUGAACCAGCAUCAGCUGGAUGAGGGGAAAAUGCGCCAUCUGCUGGCCGUCCUGCGUGAAGAUUUUAAAGAUUCAACCAACAACCAGUCAAACCAUUGACUCUCCACACAUCGAGUCUGAACUGAAGAGCAGUGAUCUGCAUAGAGCAGUAAUCAUGUUGAUGACUGAAUGCAUGAUCACAUUGUUUUACAAAGUGACUGUGUGUGUGUGUGUGUGUGUGUGUGUGUGUGUGAGAGAGAGAGAGAGAGAGAGAGCGGUACUUAGCUUUCUUUAAUAGUACAAAACCAUAUAGACUGUGUAUUAAGUUUAUUGUUUACUAUAAUUUGGCCAUCGGUGUGAAUUGAUGUGUAAAUGGUUAAUGGUGGUUAUGGAUAAUCAACAAACAAUUAAAUUUACAGAAUUU